Molecule: small nuclear RNA, 63 nt
Filed under: Propithecus coquereli (Coquerel's sifaka)
Lineage: Eukaryota; Metazoa; Chordata; Mammalia; Primates; Indriidae
Description: U7 small nuclear RNA (ENSPCOG00000004143.1)
Rfam family: U7 small nuclear RNA
About the family: Animal histone pre-mRNAs are spliced by a different mechanism than nuclear pre-mRNAs and self-splicing introns. This processing involves the U7 snRNP, which contains only one RNA species: U7.
Source: Rfam by way of RNAcentral
CAGUGUUACAGCUCUUUUAGAAUUUGUCUAGCAGGCUUUCUGGUUCUCACCAGAAGAACCCCC